GUGUCAGCCGCCGCGGUAAGACGAAGGUGGCGAGCGUUGUUCGGAAUCACUGGGCAUAAAGCGCACGUAGGCGGUGGCGUAAGUCGGGUGUGAAAUCCCUCGGCCCAACCGAGGAACUGCGCCCGAUACUGCGUUGCUUGAGGACCAAAGGGGUGCAUGGAAUUUCCGGUGGAGCGGUGAAAUGCGUUGAUAUCGGAAGGAACGUCGGCGGCGAAAGCGGUGCACUGGUUGGUCUCUGACGCUGAGGUGCGAAAGCCAGGGGAGCAAACGGGAUUAGAUACCCCGGUAGUCC
RNAcentral lists this ribosomal RNA (292 nucleotides) under uncultured bacterium. RNAcentral's name for it is "partial 16S ribosomal RNA". It matches the Rfam family "Bacterial small subunit ribosomal RNA", at positions 505 to 796 of the family's 1533-position model. The record is from RNAcentral.